Molecule: ribosomal RNA, 744 nt
Filed under: uncultured bacterium
Lineage: Bacteria
Description: bacterial SSU rRNA
Rfam family: Bacterial small subunit ribosomal RNA
Source: RNAcentral
AGAGUUUGAUCAUGGCUCAGAACGAACGCUGGCGGCAGGCUUAACACAUGCAAGUCGAACGCGUGUAGCAAUACACGAGUGGCGCACGGGUGAGUAACGCGUGGAUAUCUGCCUUUUGGUUCGGAAUAACCCCGGGAAACUGGGGCUAAUACCGGAUGGUUCCUACGGGAUAAAGAUUUAUCGCCAAAAGAUGAGUCCGCGUCCGAUUAGCUAGUUGGUGAGGUAACGGCUCACCAAGGCGACGAUCGGUAGCUGGUCUGAGAGGACGAUCAGCCACACUGGGACUGAGACACGGCCCAGACUCCUACGGGAGGCAGCAGUGGGGAAUAUUGGACAAUGGGGGCAACCCUGAUCCAGCCAUGCCGCGUGAGUGAUGAAGGCCUUCGGGUUGUAAAGCUCUUUUGGCGGGGACGAUGAUGACGGUACCCGCAGAAUAAGCCCCGGCUAACUUCGUGCCAGCAGCCGCGGUAAGACGAAGGGGGCUAGCGUUGUUCGGAAUUACUGGGCGUAAAGCGCGUGUAGGCGGUUGUCCAAGUUGGAUGUGAAAGCCUUGAGCUUAACUCAAGAAAUGCAUUCAGGACUGGAUGACUAGAGGACCGGAGAGGAUAGUGGAAUUCCCAGUGUAGUGGUGAAAUACGUAGAGAUUGGGAAGAACACCAGUGGCGAAGGCGGCUAUCUGGACGGUUUCUGACGCUAAGACGCGAAAGCGUGGGGAGCAAACAGGAUUAGAUACCCUAGUAGUCC